GGAUCAUGGUUUUUCAGUGUUCAAUUACCCUUCGAUGCGAAGGUAGCUUCUCUCCAGAAGAAGCUUCAAGUUAACGCUGCUUACGGCGUCAGGGUCCUUGCCGCCGAUACUCUCAUUUCUGAUUGCUUCGACACCAUUUACGAUCUCAUUGCUCUUCUGUUAACUCUCAGAUCUUGAGUCGCUAGGAAAGAUAUGCAAAGUGAAUUAGAAGUGGUGAUAUAGAAGAUUGAUCUGGAAAAUGCAAGGUUUCAGAGCCAAGCUUAGAUUGGCAAUUCUUGUUAUAAUAACCAUAUGGAUCGGUCUACUAGCUUUGUAUGGUUUGCUAAAGCCUAUUUCUAAUGGUUGCAUAAUGACGUAUAUGUAUCCUACAUAUAUUCCAAUUUCUACAAAUGAUGGCGGGUCAUCUGCAAAGUAUGGAUUGUACUUGUACCAUGAAGGCUGGAAAAAGAUUGAUUUCAAUGAGCAUCUAAAACAACUCAGUGGUGUUCCAGUUCUUUUUAUUCCUGGCAAUGGCGGUAGCUACAAGCAGGUAAGAUCCUUGGCAGCUGAAUCUGAUAGGGCAUACCAAGGAGGCCCCCUUGAGCAGACAUUUUAUCAAGAGGCCUACCUGUCUUCUGAGGAGGGAGUGGCUGAUGCAAGUGGAGCUGGGUUUCAUUUACCUAAUCAUUAUGCUAGCAGGCUGGACUGGUUUGCUGUAGACCUUGAAGGUGAACAUUCAGCAAUGGAUGGUCGAAUACUUGAAGAACAUACAGAAUAUGUUGUAUAUGCCAUUCACAAGAUUUUGGAUCAAUACAGAGAAUCUCGUGAUGCUCGAGAGAGAGAAGGUGCUGUAAUCUCUGGUAGUUUGCCAAAAAGUGUGAUAUUGGUUGGUCAUUCUAUGGGUGGUUUUGUUGCUAGAGCUGCAAUUAUCCACCCUCAUUUAAGGAAGUUGGCUGUUGAGACUAUUCUUACACUUUCAACCCCUCAUCAAUCACCUCCUGUGGCGUUGCAGCCAUCAUUGGGUCAUUAUUUUAAACGUGUAAACCAGGAAUGGCGAAAGAGAUAUGAGGUCCAAACAACUAGGACAGGACGUUAUGUGUCAGAUCCAUUGCUAUCUCAUGUUGUUGUUGUCUCCAUCUCUGGUGGUUAUAAUGAUUACCAGGUUCGAUCAAAAUUAGAGUCCCUGGAAGAUAUUGUGCCUUCCACUCAUGGCUUUAUGAUAAGUAGUACAGGCAUGAGAAAUGUCUGGUUGUCGAUGGAACAUCAGGCUAUUUUAUGGUGUAAUCAAUUAGUUGUGCAAGUAUCACAUACUCUCCUUAGUUUGAUAGAUUCCAGAACAGGUCAGCCAUUCCCUGAAACUCAAAAGAGAUUAACGGUGUUUUCAAGAAUGCUCCGUAGUGGGAUACCACGGACUUUCAAUUGGAUGAGGCAAUCACACUCAUCUCAUCAGUCAACUCAUGCCACCAUUAAGGAUAUAAAAAAUGCACUUGGUUCUCAAGUAUUUCCUUCAUCCCAUUGUCCAAGCAAUGUUCACUGGAAUGAUGAUGGUCUUGAGAAGGAUCUAUACAUCCAGACUACUACUAUGACUGUUUUGGCAAUGGAUGGGAGGAGGCGGUGGUUGGAUAUACAGAAAUUGGGUUCAAAUGGAAAAAGCCAUUUCAUCUUUGUGACAAAUCUUGCUCCAUGUUUUGGGGUAAGACUUCAUCUUUGGCCUGAAAAGGCAAAACUGACUUCAGACUUGGCUGCAAGUAAACGGGUUGUAGAAGUAACAUCAAAGUUGGUGAAGAUUCCUUCACGUCCAGCACCAAGACAGAUGGAACCUGGUAGUCAGACUGAGCAAGCACCUCCAUCUGCUGUACUUUGUUUGAGUCCAGAGGAGAUGCAGGGUUUCAGAUUCCUGACUAUCUCUGUUGCUCCUCGUCCGACCAUUUCAGGCAGACCUCCACCAGCAGCUUCCAUGGCAGUUGGGCAGUUUUUUAACCCAGAGGAUGGGGAGAGAGAUUUAUCUGCUCAAUUGAUGCUUCUAUCUACGUAUUCACAAAAGGUUAAUGCUUUCAUGAUAUGGCUGAAGUACUUCAAAGGUUUUAAAUUGUAGAAUCUUAUCACUGUUUGGGAGCAAUAGGAUGGGAAAAGUGGAGGGGAGGAAAAUAAAGAGGAAAGAAAAUGGAGACAUGAGUUUGAUUUCAAUCCUUUUGGUUGGAGUGAAUAGAAAAAUGCAAGGAAUAAAAAGUGGAACAAUACAUUUUUUAUCAAUAGUGAAAUGAAGUUGUGCCCUCUAUUUUUCUUAAGAAGAAAUUUUAUUAGGGCAAUUGAAUCGAGUAAUGUCACUUGAAUCCUGAAUAUGGGAGAAAAAUUUGGUGGGCCCCAUGGGUGAAUCUUCUUACCUCGUUUCCCUCCCCCAACUUUCAUUCUCUCUCAAACAAGGGAAAGUACAAAUAUUUUCAAAAUAUUCCUCCAUUAAUUUCCUUUCUUCUCGCUUUCCCUCCUUCCCAAAUAUACUGUUAUCUAUAAACUGGGUUAAUUUAGUUUUGGCCAUGACAGUAGGUUUUUGACUAGUACAUGUCGUUUGUUUUGCACAGGAAAUAUUUUUGAAAGAGGAUCAUCCCCUUGCUUUCAAUUUAUCAUUUUCUGUUAGCUUAGGCCUUUUGCCUGUUACUUUAUCUCUGAAGACUAUGGGCUGUGGAAUAAAAAGGUCUGGACUUCUUGCUGAAGAGGCUGGAUACAUGGAAAACAGUAGGCUUUGCAAAUUGCGGUGUUUCCCACCUGUAGCACUUGCAUGGGAUCCUACAUCAGGUAUUCACAUGUUUCCUAAUUUGCAUGGUGAAACCAUUAUUGUUGAUUCCUCACCAGCUCUGUGGAGUUCUACCCAGGGAUCUGAAAGAACCACUGUUCUGUUACUGGUUGAUCCUCAUUGUUCGUAUAAAAUGAGCAUUGCUGUUUCUGAAACGGCAGCUGCCAGCCGGUUUUUGCUUUUGUAUAGUUCACAGAUAGUUGGUUUCUCCGUUGCGGUUAUCUUUUUUGCUCUAAUGCGACAGGCACAUGCGUGGGAUCUUGAUCUGCCUAUGCCUUCAAUGCUGACAGCUGUGGAAUCAAAUUUGAGAAUGCCAUUAUCUUUCUUGCUUCUAGGAAUCAUACCCAUUUUGUUUUCCUUGUUCGUUUCCUUGCUAAUGUCUCAACCCCUUCCUCCACUUGCAAGCUUCAUCACUGUUUCAAUUAUUUGCUAUUUUUUUGCAAAUGGGUCCAUAAUUAUACUGAUCAUUGUUUCCCAACUGAUCUUCUAUGCGGCUGCCAUCAUACAUGUUUUCAUCAAGACAAGGUGGCAAGGAUGGGAAGGAAAUUUUUGCUUAGGAUUUCUUCAUUGGUUUAUUAAUCUUUCCUCCAGUUUCUUUUCAUUAAAGGUUGUAAGGGUUCUAAGAUUCAAUCCAUUGCUUGUAACUGCGCUGACUGCAAUUACGUUGGGAUGCUUUGUUCAUCCAGCUUUGGGUUUAUUCAUACUUCUCUUGUCUCAUGCUUGGUGCUGUCAUAAUGCAUUGUGCAGUUUUUUGACGGCUUCCUUUCGCAGCCAUGCACAGAGAAAGGAACUGUAUGAUUGUAAAGACAGAGGAAAUGAAGGGUCUCAGGAAUUUGAAUUCAAAGUGGAAGAGAACAGUUCUAGUAGUCCUAACCCUUCAAAAAGUUUUGGUGAAACACAAUUGGAGAUCUUCCAUCACCGACAUGGCUUGUUGGUCUUGCAUCUUCUUGCAGCAAUGAUGUUUGUCCCCUCUCUUGCGGCUUGGUUGCAGAGAAUAGGAUUGGGUCAUAGCUUUCCGUGGUUCCUGGAUUCAGCUCUUUGCAUUGGUGUAAUACUUCAUGGUAUCUUCAAUUCAAAACCAGAGAGCAAUUCUCUAUUUUCCUUCCCAGCCAUACUGGGGAAGAAAGUGAAAUUGGAUUUUGUCUACCUGCUUGCUGGCUAUUUUUCCUAUCUCUGUGGUUUGGGCUUGGAGCCAUACAAAGUAUUUUAUGCGAUGGCUGCAGUAGGGUUUCUAUCCUUUGCUUUGAGGACGUUACAAAGCAGGAGGGAGAAGGGAGAACUGCAUUUUGGGAGAAAAAAGCAUUCUCAUAAACAUUAAGUGAGCAUCUUCUGGAAGCCAUACAUAAAUAGAUUCAGAAGGUGGUUGUAUGAUCAUUAUCAUGUCUUCACAAAGACCCCCAUCGCUGAAUAUUUGGAUUCCACUUUAUUUGCAGGCAAGCAAUGUGAUCUUCUACCAUGGCUGAAAGAUGUGGUUUGGGGGGGGGG
Molecule: unclassified non-coding RNA, 4255 nt
Filed under: Hevea brasiliensis (rubber tree)
Lineage: Eukaryota; Viridiplantae; Streptophyta; Magnoliopsida; Malpighiales; Euphorbiaceae
Source: RNAcentral